Sapajus apella (tufted capuchin) is the source of this 357-nucleotide long non-coding RNA. RefSeq lists it as uncharacterized. The record is from RefSeq and is a predicted model, not a curated record. Lineage: Eukaryota; Metazoa; Chordata; Mammalia; Primates; Cebidae. The transcript has 2 exons.
GGGCAUGGUGGCUCAUGCCUAUAAUCCCAGCACUUCGGGAGGCCGAGGCAGGUCGAUUACUUGAGGUCGGGCACUCAAGACCAGCCUGGUCAACAUGGCAAAACGUUGUCUCUAUUAAAAAUACAAAAAUUAGCUGGGAGCGGUGGCGCACACCUGUAAUUGCAGCUACUUGGGUAGCUGAGGCAUGAGAAUCACUUGAACCUGGGAGCCGGAGGUUGCAAUAAGCUGAGAUCGUGCCACUGCACGCCAGCCUGGGCAACAGAGUGAGACUCAGUCUCAAAAAAAAAUAAUAAUAAAAAAUAAAAAUCCAGUUUAAUGGGAAUUCAUAUGGGUAUACAGUUAAUUUAUAUUAGCCAA